AUACUUACCUGGCAGGGCAUAUUACCAUGAUCAUGAAGGUGAUUUUCCCAAGGUGAGGCUUAUCCAUUACACUAUGGAUGUGAUGACACCUGCAAUUUUCCCAAGUGUGGGAAACUCGACUGCAUAAUUUGUGGUAGUGGGGGACUGUGUUCACACUCUCUCACU
Molecule: small nuclear RNA, 165 nt
Organism: Suncus etruscus (white-toothed pygmy shrew)
Lineage: Eukaryota; Metazoa; Chordata; Mammalia; Eulipotyphla; Soricidae
Product: U1 spliceosomal RNA
Exons: 1
Source: RefSeq, a predicted model, not a curated record